This 253-nucleotide ribosomal RNA is filed under the name uncultured bacterium. RNAcentral describes it as "partial 16S ribosomal RNA". It matches the Rfam family "Bacterial small subunit ribosomal RNA", at positions 524 to 776 of the family's 1533-position model. The record is from RNAcentral.
UACGUAGGGGGCAAGCGUUAUCCGGAAUUACUGGGUGUAAAGGGAGCGUAGACGGUAAUGUAAGUCUGGAGUGAAAGGCGGGGGCCCAACCCCCGGACUGCUCUGGAAACUAUGUUACUAGAGUGCAGGAGAGGUAAGCGGAAUUCCUAGUGUAGCGGUGAAAUGCGUAGAUAUUAGGAGGAACACCAGUGGCGAAAGCGGCUCUCUGGUCUGUAACUGACGCUGAGGUUCGAAAGCGUGGGUAGCAAACAGG